RNAcentral lists this ribosomal RNA (342 nucleotides) under uncultured fungus. RNAcentral describes it as "SSU rRNA". It matches the Rfam family "Eukaryotic small subunit ribosomal RNA", at positions 292 to 636 of the family's 1831-position model. Lineage: Eukaryota; Fungi. The record is from RNAcentral.
GGUUCAUUCAAAUUUCUGCCCUAUCAACUUUCGACGGCUGGGUCUUGGCCAGCCAUGGUGACAACGGGUAACGGAGGGUUAGGGCUCGACCCCGGAGAAGGAGCCUGAGAAACGGCUACUACAUCCAAGGAAGGCAGCAGGCGCGCAAAUUACCCAAUCCCGACCGGGGAGGUAGUGACAAUAAAUACUGAUACAGGGCUCUUUUGGGUCUUGUAAUUGGAAUGAGUACAAUUUAAAUCCCUUAACGAGGAACAAUUGGAGGGCAAGUCUGGUGCCAGAGCCGGGUAAUUCCAGCUCCAAUAGCGUAUAUUAAAGUUGUUGCAGUUAAAAAGCUCGUAGUUG